This is a long non-coding RNA of Phyllostomus hastatus (greater spear-nosed bat), 587 nucleotides long. RefSeq lists it as uncharacterized. The transcript is spliced from 3 exons. Lineage: Eukaryota; Metazoa; Chordata; Mammalia; Chiroptera; Phyllostomidae. The record is from RefSeq and is a predicted model, not a curated record.
GGGCACGGCACCAGGGACUAGGAGCUAGAGAAGCAGACGAAGAAAGCAGCGCUCAGCAGCCGACUGGACUCACGGACCUGCAAACUGACAAACUCAUCUAUGGUGUACCCUGGAGCCUCGCACUGACUCCCGAGACAGAAAUGUUUAAACAUUCAAAAAAGCAGACUUCCAGCCAAGAUGGAGGCAUAGGUACACUCCCAAGAACCUGACUUCAGAGGAAUGGUCUUCCAGAAUUCUAAGCAUUACAGUUUGCCAUGACCAGGACAAGAGUAACACAGAGCGUGAAUAACACAGACCCAUGAGCAGCAAAGCAAGAGCUCUCCCAUUACAGGUGCAGCACAUCCGUAAUCCGAGCCAGCCCCGGGCUGCAGCUGCUGGAACACCAGCCCACGAAGACAAGCCUGACAGCAAGAGAAGUAGGAGAUUCUAGGAAAUUCUGACCUUCUCAAGGAGCCUCAAUACGCACAGUUUUCCAUAAGAGUGCCACACCUCUCUCCUUCUGCAGGACGUGUGCCCAGAUUAAGCUUCCAAAAUAUUCAAUUUGCUUUUGAGGGGUUUUUUUUGUUCUUCUUUUUCUUUUCUACCCA